AAGGUCUUAAGUUAAAAAAACUAGUAACCUUCAAAGCUAUCAAUAAAGAACGUCUCUUUAGGCCUUA
RNAcentral lists this transfer RNA (67 nucleotides) under Glyptotermes sp. C TB-2014. RNAcentral describes it as "tRNA-Trp". The record is from RNAcentral. Lineage: Eukaryota; Metazoa; Arthropoda; Insecta; Blattodea; Kalotermitidae.